RNAcentral lists this ribosomal RNA (265 nucleotides) under uncultured bacterium. RNAcentral describes it as "partial 16S ribosomal RNA". It matches the Rfam family "Bacterial small subunit ribosomal RNA", at positions 334 to 591 of the family's 1533-position model. The record is from RNAcentral.
UUAUCCUACGGGGGGCAGCAGUAGGGAAUCUUCCACAAUGGACGAAAGUCUGAUGGAGCAACGCCGCGUGAGUGAAGAAGGGUUUCGGCUCGUAAAGCUCUGUUGGUAGUGAAGAAAGAUAGAGGUAGUAACUGGCCUUUAUUUGACGGUAAUUACUUAGAAAGUCACGGCUAACUACGUGCCAGCAGCCGCGGUAAUACGUAGGGGGCAAGCGUUGUCCGGAUUUACUGGGUGUAAAGGGCGUGUAGGCGGGGACGGAAGUCAG